UGCACCCGUUGUUGGGGGUGAAGGGAGACGGGAAGUCGAAGAAGAAGGCGGGCCGGCCGUCCGAAGGGAUCGAAAGGUAAGAGAAAGAUUCGACGUUUAGACCCAAACUGUUCGACAGAGAGAGAGACAGAGGGGCGGAGUUGGACGGGGCGGGACUAAAGGGAACACUCGUCGCUCCAGCGUACAAACCGCACGACGUUCAGGGUCUGGACUAAGGGACGAAGAGGCUGAGGACUGAUGGUGUGAGCCUGCAGCGCCCCCUGUCUGUGUGGAGACCAAACACUCUGUAAAAGACUGUAUGAGUGCUGAGUGUGGGGAAACUCUAACUGUUCCAGGAUCAGUGUGUGACGGACGGGACGCGUUUCAUUCCCCAGAACACAGCGCUUCCUGCUGAUGGACAGAGACGGAGACAGAGAGAGACAGUCUGGACAUUCUUCUGUAGAUAUUUUUCCUCUCAGCACUAGCUGUGUAGUCCUGUUUGAUUUUUUUCCCCCCCCACAAGCUGUGUCCACUUCCUCGUGUGUGUGAGUGUGUGAGUGUGUGAGUGUGUGUGUGUGUGUGUGUGUGUGUGUGUGUGUGUGUGUGAGAGAGCCCCUUUCUGUAGGAGUUUCUUCCUCUUUUUAGUCCAGGAAGUAAAAAAGCUUUGUAAUAAAAUGAUCUCGGGAACCGG
Long non-coding RNA from Pangasianodon hypophthalmus (striped catfish), 670 nucleotides. RefSeq lists it as uncharacterized. Lineage: Eukaryota; Metazoa; Chordata; Actinopteri; Siluriformes; Pangasiidae. The transcript has 2 exons. The record is from RefSeq and is a predicted model, not a curated record.